This 507-nucleotide ribosomal RNA is filed under the name Eucephalobus striatus. RNAcentral describes it as "SSU rRNA". It matches the Rfam family "Eukaryotic small subunit ribosomal RNA", at positions 88 to 590 of the family's 1831-position model. The record is from RNAcentral. Lineage: Eukaryota; Metazoa; Nematoda; Chromadorea; Rhabditida; Cephalobidae.
CGCGAAUGGCUCAUUACAACAGCUAACAAAUCUACUUGAUCUUGACACGAUCCUACUUGGAUAACUGUGGUAAUUCUAGAGCUAAUACAUGCAUUAAAGCUCUGACCUUCGGGGAAGAGUGCAUUUAUUAGAGCAAAACCAAGCGGCUUCGGCUGUUUUCGGUUGACUCAUAGUAACUGAGCUGAUCGCAUGGUCUUGCACCGGCGACGUGUCUUUCGAGUAUCUGCCGUAUCAACUUUCGAUGGUAGUGUAUCUGACUACCAUGGUGAUCACGCGUAACGGAGAAUAAGGGUUCGACUCCGGAGAGUUCGCCUGAGAAAUCGCGAACACAUCUAAGGAAGGCAGCAGGCGCGAAAAUUACCCACUCUCAGCACGAGGAGGUAGUGACGAAAAAUAACGAGACCGUUCUCUUAUGAGGCCGGUCAUCGGAAUGGGUACAAUUUAAACCCUUUAACGAGUAUCUAUGAGAGGGCAAGUCUGGUGCCAGCAGCCGCGGUAAUUCCAGCU